GUAGAGGUGUGCCUCAGACCAUUAUAGGUGCUAACAUGGACUAUAUUUUGUGCAUAAAAUAACAAAAUGGGAGUUAUUAUGUAUAACAGGGUUUGUGUUUGAGUGUGUUUUUUCUUUCCUUAAAAGAAAGUUCUUCAGAAUUUUAAGUGGUAUUUUACAGAUUAGUUAUUAUUAAAGAUUAUAGUAUUUUAAAAUGUCAAGUCAGCUAGCCUUUUUCAUAAAUUAAACCCAAAAUAUAUAGCCCACAUCAACAUCUGGCACACCUCAUUUAGGCAAGCGACAAUUGAUACCAAUACUGAAGUAAUACAUACAACUGAUUAAAAAAAAAAAAAAUGAACUGGCGAUGAUUGAUAUUUGAACCAAAGUUUUGGAUUUUUUGUAUCAUUAAACUUUUUAUUAUUAUUAUUUGACCAUAACAGUGUUGAAACUAAUGUGGGGAAGAAUGCAUUGAUACCAAUUAAAUGGCAUGAAAUGCUUUUCUUUAUCAGUUAUUACUUUUUCCUUCUAUUAUAUUGGAAUGCCCUUCUCUCUUUUGAAAUUCUGCAAUCACAGAUUGCAAAAAGAAUGAAUAAAGUUAUUCACUUCUGUAAUAGCAGUAGAAAAAAGUGUGUUUGUGGACCUUGCAGCAAACAAGGUGACUUGGUUGGAUGAAGAAAAUUGUGUUGGAACUUUGGAAAUUACUUUCAAAAACCUGGUUGAAGCUGUUGUUGCUUGAAACCAUGCAAAUAUGCUUCUGAAUACUAAUUACUUAUGCAAAAGACUGUGAACUAAUAAUUAUUUUCAGGUUUUCUUUAAUUAUGCUAUAUAAAUUCAUCAGCUAAUUUGUAAGUAGAAUCAGCAAUCAUAGGUUUCUUAUAAUAUUCUUGUCAAUUACUUAUCAACUGUGGACGAGUGUGGUUACGUCUUUUUAUCUUCUCAGUAAAUGUUGCCUUGUGACAAAUGAUUUUCGAUUUACCACAAUUUCAUCCCUGUUCUGUAUUGGCAUCUUUCCUGAUACCUGGGCAUAACCUGGAUCUUCCUCUUUGUUUCUAAAGUAAAAUAGUGGAAUUUAUGGGCCAACAUUUUCUAAUAUUUGUGGAAUACAUGUAUACAUAUUUGCAUCUGUUUCUCCAUAAGCUAUUUUGCACUUGUGAAGGGUCUAGGACUAUUUCUUUUCUUCAUAAGUAUCCCAUUUACUUUAAAAAAAAAUGGGAAAUGAUUUUGGUUCCAUCCUGUUUUACCUGCUGCUAGCGUAAGCUGGUAAUUAAUGUCUUGAAACAAAAACAUUUAUCAUAUUUUCUGUUGCAUGUUUCAGGUAUGUAUGCAUAGGCUGCUAUGCUUAGUCUAAACUAACUCUUGAUAAAUCAUGCUCUGGCUUCCUAAGUAUGAGCUGCUUGCAUUGUUUGUCUGCUGUCCCCUCAAAAUUUCAUGCUGAGGCUAUUAGAUACUGUUUUUAUGUGUUGCUUCUCUUUUAUUCUAUAUAUUUAAUUGUUUAUUAAUCUUUGUGGGCAGCUAAUGACUAAAAAUUUGGUCCAGCAUCAUUUAUAGUCUUCUUCUUUUUUUUUAUUUUCCCUUUAUUUAAAUCAAUCAUAUACAUCUGCUUCAAUGUUUGUGUCAAUUAUAUCCAGCAUAGAGGUGUGCGUCAG
RNAcentral lists this unclassified non-coding RNA (1625 nucleotides) under Hevea brasiliensis (rubber tree). Lineage: Eukaryota; Viridiplantae; Streptophyta; Magnoliopsida; Malpighiales; Euphorbiaceae. The record is from RNAcentral.